GAUGAACGCUGGCGGCGUGCCUAAUACAUGCAAGUCGAGCGAACAGACGAGGAGCUUGCUCCUCUGACGUUAGCGGCGGACGGGUGAGCAACACGUGGAUAACCUACCUAUAAGACUGGGAUAACUUCGGGAAACCGGAGCUAAUACCGGAUAAUAUAUUGAACCGCAUGGUUCAAUAGUGAAAGACGGUUUUGCUGUCACUUAUAGAUGGAUCCGCGCCGCAUUAGCUAGUUGGUAAGGUAACGGCUUACCAAGGCAACGAUGCGUAGCCGACCUGAGAGGGUGAUCGGCCACACUGGAACUGAGACACGGUCCAGACUCCUACGGGAGGCAGCAGUAGGGAAUCUUCCGCAAUGGGCGAAAGCUUGACGGAGCAACGCCGCGUGAGUGAUGAAGGUCUUCGGAUCGUAAAACUCUGUUAUUAGGGAAGAACAAAUGUGUAAGUAACUAUGCACGUCUUGACGGUACCUAAUCAGAAAACCACGGCUAACUACGU
Molecule: ribosomal RNA, 496 nt
Filed under: uncultured bacterium
Lineage: Bacteria
Description: partial 16S ribosomal RNA
Rfam family: Bacterial small subunit ribosomal RNA
Source: RNAcentral